GGAGGGUACAGCUCAAUUGGUAGAGUGUAUGCUUAGCACGCAGGAGGUUCUGGGUUCAAUCCCCAGCACCUCCU
Non-coding RNA from Camelus ferus (Wild Bactrian camel), 74 nucleotides. The record is from Rfam. Lineage: Eukaryota; Metazoa; Chordata; Mammalia; Artiodactyla; Camelidae.